GCUUAGUUGUGGGGUUACUCUGCGUUUCUUAUAGCCUGGCCUAUGAUGAUUGUCCACGAAAUUGGCAAGGCGAAGAGGUGCUUCAACAUCAUAAUCCACGAUCCGGAGAUGGCUGAUGAGAACGAGGCUCGGGGAGUCUUGGACUUGGUUCGAUGAACCAAUUAGAUCAAACAACUUACACCACUCCGCACACACACACACACACACCUCUACUGGGUGCAACAAUACAACAACUGAGGAGAAGACUGCGAGAACAACAAAAAAGAAUUCUUUACGAGCCUCGCUCCGGUGCACGGUCAUCAAGUCAGCUCGUUCAACAUUCAAGAGGCAUCGAUGAUAAUAUUCAUUCAUUUGAUCAAACCGCCGACGAUGUCGACGGAGACGGAGAUGCAGACGACGACGAUGGAGACGACUUUCAUUAUGGGCCUGGGUCUCCAGACCCCGUCCCAGUAGUCCCCCCAUCGCCGUGCCCAUCCGAGCUCCAUCACCAUCCACCUCCGUCUACUGGGAGGCCGCCCAAACGCAGUCCAAAACCAAGUCAGGAACGGUGGGGAAGUACAAAAACAUAUUGCCAAAGUAGCAGCAACAGGCAAAGCAACUACGGCAACAUCAUUGACCAACAACAGCAACACGAGAAAUCUCAACAGCAGCAUUAUGCAUCAUUACACUGAGAGAAACGAAAGCAGUGCACUCAAUCGACACAUUCACUUAUAGGUCUCAAAAUCGAUGAGAAAAAGGAAUAUGUUGAACGGGUGGUGGCGGUGGCGGCGUUCGCUUGUAGCACGGCUCAAAACUGCUGUCCGUUGUCCGAUUGUCCGUUUGUCCGCCGUCCGUCGAUCGUCCGCUCACACAUAUAGCACACAAGGGCACGGACACACCUCCACACACACAGCACACGCACCCAGAAUGCAGACGAAGCCGAGACCUCUUUUUAAUGUAUUGCAAUUCCAAGAAUUUAGGAAGAGGAACGUGAGAAACUUUGUUUUUGUUAUUUUCUUUUCUUUGCAUUUCAUUUCAAGAUACGAUGCCGAUCUCUGACUCCCUGCCCCGCCCCCGCCCCCGGCCCCAUACUCCCUCGCCCACUGACAGUGUCUACGUCUCGAGCGUCCAGGCUUCAUGGCUUUGUCCAUCGGUGCUGAUAGCCUGGCUAUCAAAUCUGGCUGGUGUCCCUUGAUGAAGCUUCUUCAAAGGAUUCAGGAUUUUAUAUAUACCAGUUAGUUAUAUAAUACCCAGUUAGAAAUUCAGAAAUCCUAUCCUAGUGGUUGUGGUUGCAAACGUGCUAAGCACACUUUCCGGUUUUGUGAGAAAAUCUCUUAAAAAUAGAUUCACCUAACCCAAAAAUGCAUUUUUCACACAUUGCAAUCGAAAUUACGAUUACGUACACAAACGGCCUUAUAUGUAUCUUCAAACAAAUGUUUACCAAUAAAAUACAUUUUUCAACUGCUAAAAAUGG
This is a non-coding RNA of Drosophila melanogaster (fruit fly), 1453 nucleotides long. NCBI's taxonomy places the organism in Eukaryota, Metazoa, Arthropoda, Insecta, Diptera, Drosophilidae. The record is from Ensembl.